UAGGCGGAGGCGUUGACGGGCACGCCGAACAGGCGCAGGUAGUCCUUGUUGGUGUUGGCCAGGUCGGCCACGCUCUUCAGGUCCCACACCGAGGCCAGCGCGGUCACGGGCGACAGGACCAGGCCGGUCAGGCCGGCGGGCAGCGUGGAGGCCACCGUGUCGUCCGUGUACACGGCGCCGGUGACCGCGUCCUUGCAAGAGCCCUUGUAGGAGGCGUCCUUGCCGGCGUAGCUGGCCAUGCCGCUGUGGGAGGGAAGAAGAGGGAGGGAGAGAUGAUAAGUACAUGCGCACAACAUUGUCCUGUGCAAUGGCAAUAGCAGGAGAACUCUCCAGUAAAGCAACCCUAUUCACAAAGCAAGUACUCACGUGAAGUUGCCCGCGGUGGUGGUGACGGUGAGGUCGCCAAUUAGCACGUUGCAGGACAGCGGGCCGGUGGCCAGACCGCGGGCCGAGUAGUUGGCGGUCGACAGCGGCGGCGAGGGGGGAGGCGAGGGCGCGGGCGACGGGGGAGGCGAGGGCGGGGGCGAGGGCACGGUGAUGAGCGCGGGUGAGGGGCGGGGCACGUAGGCCGGGCCGGUGGCGCUGCCGGCACGCAGCACGGUCUGGCUGACAGCCACAUCCACCGUGUCACCAGCCAUGGGCUUGUAGGUGGCGGCGGCGGUGAGCGUGAGGCUCAGGCCGUCGGCGCUGACGGCGCAGGCCGACAGAGGGCUGGCGACGGCGCUGCCGUUGCGGGCAAUGACCACGGCGGCAUUGCAGUCGGCGGCAGCGGUGCUGGUGAGGACCGAGGCGGUGGGCAGGGCGACGGUGACGAUGGUGGCGUUGGUGAGCGUGGCGGACACGAUGUUGGGGGUGACCAGCACGCCGGCCUUGGAGGGCACGUAGGCGGUGGUGCCGUCAGCCAGGGUCAGGGCCCUCUGGCCGGGCACGAUGUUCAGCACAUCGCCGCCCACAAACGAGGCCGCGGGGAUGGUCACCGCCAGCGUCACGCCGUCGGCGCCCAGGCUGCAGCUGCUCACGUUCUUGGCCACGCCGCCCGCACCCAGCAGCGCCAGCACCGCCUUGCAGUCGGCGCCAGUGGCCAGGGCGCUGGCGAAGGGCAGGCGCACAGUGAUGGCGGUGGCGGAGGUCAGGUUGGCGUUGGCGAACAGCGCGGGGUUCACCACCUGCGCCGCCAGCUUGGGCACGUAGCUGGGGCCGGUGGCCAGCGCCGAGGAGCGCAGCUCGGCCUGCUCCGGCUUGAUGUUGACGGUGUCGCCGGCGCUGAAGUUGCCAGCCGACAGCAGCUUCACCUGCAGGCCCAGGCGGUCGGGCAUCAGCAUGCAGGACGCCACAGUGCCGUUCUUGGUCACGCCCGCAGCCGUCUUGAACUCAAUGGCGCGCAGGCAGUCGGGGACGGUGAAGUUGUCAGGGAUGGCUGACACAGUCGGCAAGUUCAGCACCACAGUGGACGGGUCGACCAGGGUGGCGGUGGCGACGGUGGCGAAGACCGGCACGUCGGCGGCAGCGGGGUAGUAGGCGGCACCGCUGGCCUGGGGGCCCCAGCGCACGGCUGCGUUUCCGGACUUGAUGUUCAUCACGUCGCCGGCCUUGUAGAUGGGGCUGGCGGUGUUGAGCACCACGCCCUUGGUGUCGGGCGUGAGGGCGCAGCUGGUGAAGGGGUUGACGGCGUCCACACCCGCCACAUCCGUGUAGCGCACCGCGGCGUUGCAGUCGGCAGCGGCCGUGGCGGCGGGCAGGGAGCUGACCGCCGGCAGGCUGAAGGCGACUGAGGUGGGGGCAACCAGGGUAGCCUUGGCACCGAAGGGGCGCGGCGAGAUGGUGGUGGCGGUGGGGUAGGGAACCAGGUUGGUGCCGCCCACGCCGCCCACCUUGGCCGAGGUCUGGUCCUUGACCACAUUAAUUGCGUCGCCGGGCACGUAGGCGUCCGCCGAGCUCAGGGUGAUGGUGACCGAUAGGCCAUCUGGCGCAAGGGCGCAGCUGGCAAUUGGGCUGGUGGUCUUGGUGGUGUUGCCGGCGCCGCUGAACACAAACACGGCGUCGCAGUCGGCCUUGGAGGUGAAGCUGACGGUGGUGACGGCGGCCAUCGUGACCAGCACGGUGGUGGGCGCGGUCAGGAUGGCAUCAUCAAAGUUGGCGUAGAUGGGCUUGGUGGCGCCUGCUGCGCCGCUGGCGUACGCAAUGCUGCCGACCAGGGCGGUGUUGCCGCUCUUGAUCAGGACCUCAUCGCCCGACACGAAUGGCGUGCCGGCGGCCAGCGUCACAACCAGGUAGUAGCCGGUGGCGUCCGAGGCAACCGUGCAGGCGCCUGACACGGUGCGAGUGGUGGUGGGGGUGGCGGAGGCGCGGACGGUGACCACGGUCGAGCAGUCGUUGUCCGUCGCGAUGGAGCUGACCACGGGCAGGGCAACCGACAGGGUGUUGGGGCCGACGGCGUAGGCCGCGUUGAUGAAGCCGGGCGCAAUCACCACGUCAGAGCUGCGCGCGAUGUAGGCCUGGCCCGAGCUGCUGGUGGUGGCCACCAGGUACUUGUCGGUGUUGGCGCUGUCGGUGUUGGAGGCCAGGAUGUUGAUCUUGUCGCCCGCCUGGAAGACCUGGUCAGACGCCAGGGUGACCGUCAAGGUGGUGCUGCCGGAGCUGGACAGGCUGCAGGCGCCGGACGCAGACAGGGCCACGGUGCCGGAGCCGCGCUUGACCGACAGGAUCUUGCCGCACUCGGUCGCGGUCAGCGCAGUGCUGACUGCCGCUCCGCCAGACGUGCUCCAGAUAACACUGGUGACAGGAAGCGUGACCUCAAUGGUGGUGGCGGUGGUUGCCUUGGCCGAGGCGAUGGUGGGCUUGACAAUCAGAGUGCUGCCGACCUUGUAGGCGGGGCCAGUGUCCGAGGCAGCACGCAGCCAGGGCGUGGCCUGGGUGCUCUGCAGCGUCACGGUGUCGCCUGUAGGGAUGCGUUGAAGUGGACCGUGUGAGUUGUGAUGCAAAGACAGCACGACACCAUGCCCAGAGGACACCUGCCCAUGCGCCUGCUGCCCAAGUCCCUGCCUUACCGUCGGCGUAGGCGGUGCCGAGGCUGACGGUGAGCAGCGUCUUGGUGGUGUCCAGGACGCAGGGGGCGGUGACGGUGGAGGAGAUAGUGCGGCCUCCCGUGAGGCUCAGGAUGGCGCCGCACUGAGCGGCGGUG
This 3181-nucleotide long non-coding RNA is filed under the name Chlamydomonas reinhardtii. RNAcentral describes it as "long non-coding RNA (CREI_LNC000746)". The record is from RNAcentral. Lineage: Eukaryota; Viridiplantae; Chlorophyta; Chlorophyceae; Chlamydomonadales; Chlamydomonadaceae.